CUACGGGGUGCUCCAGUGGGGAAUAUUGCACAAUGGGCGCAAGCCUGAUGCAGCCAUGCCGCGUGUAUGAAGAAGGCCUUCGGGUUGUAAAGUACUUUCAGCGGGGAGGAAGGGAGUAAAGUUAAUACCUUUGCUCAUUGACGUUACCCGCAGAAGAAGCACCGGCUAACUCCGUGCCAGCAGGCCGCGGUAAUACGGAGGGUGCAAUCGUUAAUCGGAAUUACUGGGCGUAAAGCGCACGCAGGCGGUUUGUUAAGUCAGAUGUGAAAUCCCCGGGCUCAACCUGGGAACUGCAUCUGAUACUGGCAAGCUUGAGUCUCGUAGAGGGGGGUAGAAUUCCAGGUGUAGCGGUGAAAUGCGUAGAGAUCUGGAGGAAUACCGGUGGCGAAGGCGGCCCCCUGGACGAAGACUGACGCUCAGGUGCGAAAGCGUGGGGAGCAAACAGGAUUAGAUACCCUUGUAGUC
This 465-nucleotide ribosomal RNA is filed under the name uncultured bacterium. RNAcentral describes it as "partial 16S ribosomal RNA". It matches the Rfam family "Bacterial small subunit ribosomal RNA", at positions 339 to 795 of the family's 1533-position model. The record is from RNAcentral.